AGAGUUUGAUCCUGGCUCAGAAUGAACGCUGGCGGCAUGCCUAACACAUGCAAGUCGAACGAGAUCUUCGGAUCUAGUGGCGCACGGGUGCGUAACGCGUGGGAAUCUACCCCUUGGUUCGGAGUAACAGUUGGAAACGACUGCUAAUACCGGAUGAUGACGUAAGUCCAAAGAUUUAUCGCCGAGGGAUGAGCCCGCGUAGGAUUAGGUAGUUGGUGUGGUAAAGGCGCACCAAGCCUACGAUCCUUAGCUGGUCUGAGAGGAUGAUCAGCCACACUGGGACUGAGACACGGCCCAGACUCCUACGGGAGGCAGCAGUGGGGAAUAUUGGACAAUGGGCGAAAGCCUGAUCCAGCAAUGCCGCGUGAGUGAUGAAGGCCCUAGGGUUGUAAAGCUCUUUUACCCGGGAUGAUAAUGACAGUACCGGGAGAAUAAGCUCCGGCUAACUCCGUGCCAGCAGCCGCGGUAAUACGGAGGGAGCUAGCGUUAUUCGGAAUUACUGGGCGUAAAGCGCACGUAGGCGGCUUUGUAAGUAAGAGGUGAAAGCCUGGUGCUCAACACCAGAACUGCCUUUUAGACUGCAUCGCCUGAAUCCAGGAGAGGUGAGUGGAAUUCCGAGUGUAGAGGUGAAAUUCGUAGAUAUUCGGAAGAACACCAGUGGCGAAGGCGGCUCACUGGACUGGUAUUGACGCUGAGGUG
This 699-nucleotide ribosomal RNA is filed under the name uncultured bacterium. Its description in RNAcentral is "bacterial SSU rRNA". It matches the Rfam family "Bacterial small subunit ribosomal RNA", at positions 8 to 753 of the family's 1533-position model. The record is from RNAcentral.